GACGAACGCUGGCGGCGUGCUUAACACAUGCAAGUCGAACGGAAAGGCCCUGCUUUUGUGGGGUGCUCGAGUGGCGAACGGGUGAGUAACACGUGAGUAACCUGCCCUUUACUUUGGGAUAACUUCAGGAAACUGGGGCUAAUACCGGAUAGGAGCUCCUGCUGCAUGGUGGGGGUUGGAACGUUUCGGCGGUUGGGGAUGGACUGGGGGCUUAUCAGCUUGUUGGGGGGUAGUGGCUUACCAAGGCUUUGAGGGGUAGGCCGCCUGGGAGGGUCAGCGGCGACAUUGGGACUGAGAUACGGCCCAGACGCCUACGGGAGGCAGCAGUGGGGAAUAUUGCACAAUGGGCGGAAGCCUGAUGCAGCAACGCCGCGUGCGGGAUGACGGCCUUCGGGUUGGAAACCGCUUUCGCCUGUGACGAAGCGUGAGUGACGGUAAUGGGUAAAGAAGCACCGGCUAACUACGUG
RNAcentral lists this ribosomal RNA (467 nucleotides) under uncultured bacterium. RNAcentral describes it as "partial 16S ribosomal RNA". It matches the Rfam family "Bacterial small subunit ribosomal RNA", at positions 28 to 507 of the family's 1533-position model. The record is from RNAcentral.